RNAcentral lists this ribosomal RNA (253 nucleotides) under uncultured bacterium. RNAcentral describes it as "partial 16S ribosomal RNA". It matches the Rfam family "Bacterial small subunit ribosomal RNA", at positions 524 to 776 of the family's 1533-position model. The record is from RNAcentral.
UACGGGGGGAGCAAGCGUUGUUCGGAUUUACUGGGCGUAAAGGGCGCGUAGGCGGCGUAACAAGUCACUUGUGAAAUCUCCGGGCUUAACCCGGAGCGGCCAAGUGAUACUGUUGUGCUAGAGUGCGGAAGGGGCUACUGGAAUUCUCGGUGUAGCGGUGAAAUGCGUAGAUAUCGAGAGGAACACCUGCGGCGAAGGCGGGUAGCUGGGCCGACACUGACGCUGAGGCGCGAAAGCUAGGGGAGCGAACAGG